This 253-nucleotide ribosomal RNA is filed under the name uncultured bacterium. Its description in RNAcentral is "partial 16S ribosomal RNA". It matches the Rfam family "Bacterial small subunit ribosomal RNA", at positions 524 to 776 of the family's 1533-position model. The record is from RNAcentral.
UACGAAGGGUGCAAGCGUUAUUCGGAAUUACUGGGCGUAAAGCGUGCGUAGGCGGUUUCUUAAGUCCGUUGUGAAAGCCCUGGGCUCAACCUGGGAACUGCAGUGGAUACUGAGAGGCUAGAGUGUGUCAGAGGAUGGUGGAAUUCCCGGUGUAGCGGUGAAAUGCGUAGAGAUCGGGAGGAACAUCAGUGGCGAAGGCGGCCAUCUGGGACAACACUGACGCUGAGGCACGAAAGCGUGGGGAGCAAACAGG